AUGCUCAUCUCAUGCACCCCAGACAGGGUGCAUGGAGGCAGCCAUGCUAGCCCUGACACUCAUCCCCACCCACGAGACCCAGACCACGUCCAGAUAUGUUUAUAUUUUCAAAAAAUGUUCAGAAUUUCAAAAUUUGUUUAA
This 141-nucleotide ribosomal RNA is filed under the name Triticum aestivum (bread wheat). RNAcentral describes it as "partial small subunit ribosomal RNA". Lineage: Eukaryota; Viridiplantae; Streptophyta; Magnoliopsida; Poales; Poaceae. The record is from RNAcentral.